This 468-nucleotide ribosomal RNA is filed under the name uncultured bacterium. Its description in RNAcentral is "partial 16S ribosomal RNA". It matches the Rfam family "Bacterial small subunit ribosomal RNA", at positions 28 to 507 of the family's 1533-position model. The record is from RNAcentral.
GACGAACGCUGGCGGCGUGCUUAACACAUGCAAGUCGAACGGAAAGGCCCUGCUUUUGUGGGGUGCUCGAUUGGCGAACGGGUGAGUAACACGUGAGUAACCUGCCCCUGACUUUGUGAUAACUUCAGGAAACUGGGGCUAAUACCGGAUAGGAGCUCCUGCUGCAUGGUGGGGGUUGGAAAGUUUCGGCGGUUGGGGAUGGACUGGCGGCUUAUCAGCUUGUUGGUGGAGUAGUGGCUUACCAAGGCUUUGACGGGUAGCCGGCCUGAGAGGUUGACCGGCCACAUUGGGACUGAGAUACGCAGCAGACUCCUACGGGAGGCAGCAGGCGAGAAUAUUGCACAAUGGCGGGAAGCCUGAUGCAGCAACGCCCCGUUCGUGAUGACGUCCUUCGGGUUGUAAACCGCUUUGUCAGGUGACGAAGCGUGAGUGACGGUAAUGGGUAAAGAAGCACCGGCUAACUACGUG